This is a long non-coding RNA of Sarcophilus harrisii (Tasmanian devil), 3248 nucleotides long. RefSeq lists it as uncharacterized. NCBI's taxonomy places the organism in Eukaryota, Metazoa, Chordata, Mammalia, Dasyuromorphia, Dasyuridae. The record is from RefSeq and is a predicted model, not a curated record. The transcript is spliced from 4 exons.
AAAUAGAAAAUGUGACUACAUGGCAUCUGGCUAUGAAAAUAUUUAGAAGAAGAUUUAUAUGCCAUUAAAAUCGAUAAUCUAAGGUGAAAAAACUAAGGUUCUCCGAUAAAUCCAAGUAACUGUCAGCUGGAUAUACCACAAGUCAUUAUUUACUAACAAUGUGCAGGUUCUAGAACACAGAAAUUGUCAUACAAUGGUAAUGAUAGCAUUAUAUAUUUGAAUUCCACAAUAUCCUGGUUAGGUAGGGAAUAUUCUUUCCUCUUUUUAAUAUUUAAGGAAACAGAGUCUAUCUUGGGAGAUACCUGAUAGUAUCAACAUCUGGAGCAGGGUUAGAAUCCAGAUUGUUUUGACUCCAUCUUACACAUUAAGCCACACUGCUAGAAGGGGGCUUAACAUCCUAAAAUAUUCACUUCACAGAUUAAAGCACUUCCAUUAUAUCUCUGGAUAAAGAAACACGUGGUGCAGUACAAUCACCCUGGAGUCCUGUAGGACUACAGGCCCAUCCAUACCAAGAACAACAAAUGGGAGAGUCUAUCUUUGUAACAGGGCCUGACACAGCUCCACUGACUCCAUACCACAAAGAUCAAGUCAAGCCCUGUGCAACAGACACUCCAAACCAGAAGAAAAACAAAGAGAAAACAGCACCCUGUAAUCAGUAAUGAUUGCCAGGUCCAGUAGCUUUUCCAUCCACCUUCCAAAUUAGCAAGAAAUGAAAUGUUGACUACUAACUGGCAACUCAAUAUAGCAACUUGAAUCCUGCUUUUUCCCCAGCACUGAAAAAUAAUGAACAAGAAAGAAAGGUUAUGGGGCUAUAGGCAGGACAGACCAGCUAAAGUUAUACAUGUAUUAGCAUCUUGCUGCCCCUUGCUCAAACACAAAAGAGGGUAGGAAGUUAUGGUGAAAAAUUCAAGAUAGUUUACUACCUAAAGGCUCAGAUUACAAAUAUAUUUGAAGUAAAUUUUUCUUACUGUUAUUCUUAAUUGUGUUUUUUUCCUAUCGUGGGAAAAGAUUAAGAACUAUUUCCUGCCUUUCCUCCCAGCCCCUCACCCCCCCCACAACACAUCCAUAAAACAAUUACAAUAAUCUCAAAAGAAUCACCUGUGUUCAAGAAUACCCCCCAACCCCCACCACACAAAAUCAUGAUCUAGAGAAGGACUAGAAAUAAAGAGAAAACAAUGAGACCUUUGAAGCUGUUCCAGGACUUCUACAACAUCUGUAGCACACCCAACUAAUUAGCAUAUUAGGGAGAGCUACUGUAUUGAGCAAGAGAUGCACAAAAGGUAAUUCUGUUUUAUAGAGCCAAAGCCAUCUGUCACCUUGUCACAGUGAGACAAGGUAUCACAUUACAUAUUAAACAGGCGGCAAGCUUCCACCAUCAGGCUUCCAACAGUUGCUGCCCAAUCUUUCUUUUUAUAUAUAAGUGUAAAUUCAGAAUUAGUGAAAGCACUGCCUCCUCUGUCUUAGAAAGGCUUUUGGAAUUGGAGGUGCUUAGGGUGAGCAGAAUACUCAGUUUGCCUCUACUGAGAAAAUCCCACUAGAGAAUUAAAAGCAAAACAACAACAACAAAAGAUAACAUCAAGAAAAAUGAUUUUGGCUCCCUGCUUUGGCCUGGGGAGACUGAAGAAUAAGAAAGGCCAUGGGGUGGGACAGAAGAGGAAAGGUUAGGUUCACAGAUUCAACAAUUUGAGCAUCAAAAGUUAUUUAUUCAUUAUUGGAAUCUUGGCCUGAGACUUAAAAGUCAAAAAAGCUGGUCUAAACACAGAGACUCUUUUGUCACUGCACAGUCAGAUCAACUGGUUAAACUCUCAGUACAUGCAUAAAGGUAAGGAGAAAAGGAAAAGCUGAACUCUGGACAGGCAGCAAGAUGUCUAACCAAGACAAGGGAGGGAGGAAGAGAAGAGAAGGGAUUUGGGGAGAAUUGAGGUGUAGGAGAAGGGAUUGGGGAGAGAAAAAGAAGGCUGUAACAAUAUCUCAUCUUAUAAGAAAGACUUAUUACUUUUCCUACUGAAAAUGGCCUCCAAGUAAAGGGAAUGAAACAGACUAUCAACUUCCCUUUGUCUGUACAUUUUGCAUCCUAGUCAGGAAAAUUUUAAGCAUGAGCAUCUCUCAAUAUUCCUGAAAAAUAACCAAGAGCUCUAGGUCAGCAAAUAAUUUUGUUGCAACAACAAAAAGCUAUUGAAUUGUAUCUUGGGUCCUCUUACUAUUUUCAGUGGCUAAGCACCUACUAUGUGUGCAAGAUAGCAUGGCCCUUUCCACAGAGGGCAUUUAAAAUAACCUACCUCAAUCAAAGCCAGAGGCUAGUAACUUGAUCAAUCUUUCUUCAAAUGUCUGGAAGGGGGAAGGCCUGAAUUUUUUACAUAAAGUCAGAGAACCAACCCAAAUAUACUACUUAAUAAUGUAAAGUAGCAGAUCCAGCAUCAUUAUGCUGAGGAAAGUCUCUUAUUACCACUCUACCACACAGGCAAAUGGUUUACAAUGACCAAAAAGCAACAAUACUGUGACUCUGUCUCUGUACAUCUCUCCUGUCCCUCUCUCUCUCGUUUGUGCUAAUCUACAGCAGAAGUGCACGUGUGCACAAAAACAAAACAAGAGAGUAAACAGAACAGUCUCGAAAGCCACAGUAUUUGCUGAAUACUGACAUCAUAUCUGAUACUGUGCUAAGAACAGGAGAUACAAAGGGAAGAAAAAACAGUUCCUGAUUUCAAGGUGCUCUGGAUCCAAUAUGGAAGACAAAAAGUCACACAACUGCAAUUGAGAUGGCAACAGAUUUGUAAAUUCUCCGAGAAAAGAAACCAGCAAUACAAGGGGGAAAGAACUAUUGUUCAGGAAAGGAUAGACUUCUACAAUACACUGAUAAGGAAAUCCUAUCCCUGCUGUCUCUUCUCUCAUCUCUCCAUAUUGAGGAAGAGGAGGAGGAAGAAGAGGAAGAAACACAAGGAAAUUUUUGUGGAAAAUAUGCAGCUCAAGUAAACAAAUUCCAUCCAUCACCAUAUCUGAAAAUGGGAGUCUUGUUAUGGGACUUGAACCAAACCCCUCUCAGCUAUGGCUGGAGUGCCUGCAGGCUGCUAUAAUAAGCCAGCUGAGCAGGAACAAAAGAUGUACUCAUAGAAAUCUCUCCUUGAACCUUCACACUUACUAUGGUAAGCAUCAUCAGCAAAUCACUCUGCCAAUCUAGACCUCAUGCUUUUUAUAAAAAUUGAUGCACUUUAUAAAUGACUUGCUAUUAUCUUGGUUUAUAAACUUCCACC